Long non-coding RNA from Triticum urartu, 1913 nucleotides. RefSeq lists it as uncharacterized. The record is from RefSeq and is a predicted model, not a curated record. Lineage: Eukaryota; Viridiplantae; Streptophyta; Magnoliopsida; Poales; Poaceae.
UCGUUUGAGAGAGGAACGAAUUUGGGGAGGCUGAUACAUAGUGGAUGCGGCGGGCGCUCGAUACAGGCGAGGCGGGCGGGCGGCCAGCGAAUGGAUCCAGCCACGCGCGAGGGAAUCGGGGGCCGGUCGAUCCAGCCGUCGGGCGAUCCACGAGGGAGGUAGGAAGAGGAGUAAUGGUGCCUCAUCUUUCGGAAACUGCUCCACUCAGAUUUCAAACACACAAUUACACUUCAGUUUCUAAGCACACAUAGAAAGAGAUUGAUGAGGAUGCAGUGCGCGGAGCAGCCGUUUCUACAGAACAUUAAUGCAUUAUUAAUGGAGUAGGGGUGCGCCACACGACGGAUGGUGGAGGUCAGUUAUUGUCGCCCAAGUGUUCGGGACUGGUUCUGCCUUAUUGGUUCAACAAAUUUAUGUAGGGUGUUUCUAGGGUUAUUUUUGUUCCUACAUUCUGAAACUGAGGAUCCCAAUCGCUGCUGGAAGGUUGUUUAGGACGGCAGAUCCUUACACGCAAGCAUAAUGUUGUUCUACACACUCUUAGUUUGUUCUUAUAUGAUAAAAUGACAUAUCUAAUGUCUGUAGAGUUCUUGCAAAGAAGAAAGCAUUAUUGAAUGUUUGGUGCUCCCAGUGUGUGCCUGAUUGUAGGGGUACAUUACAGUUUCACUGCAUAAGACAUGGAGAUGGGGGUUGUGGUUUCGCCUAUUGUGCCUCGGCGCCAACUCGGCUUUAGGCGCCAGCAGUGCGAGCACCACGAAAUGACCACCAUUGGAGGCAGCUGGAGAAAGAAUCUACACCGUGGACGUCCUUUUCCUUUUCUCCAAUCGAGAGAGCCACUGCAGUUCCCAAAGUGGUCUGUCUUCACAACAUCGACCAGGAAAGGAGUCUCCAGUUUAGUCUUCUUUGGUUACUUCAGAUUGUACCAUAAUUAAACGGCUUCUGGCAUUCCAGUUAACUAAAAGUCUCUUCCUUUUGCACUCUAUCUACACCUUCUCCUUUGGGGUUAUUGGAAUUAUUUUCAGUAUGAUUGAAUUGGUUGUUCCAAGUGUACAAUGUAUGUUGGUGAUAGGUUUAUAACUGAUUCUUUAUUUUUUACAAGCUUGAGCAGAAAGAACAAGGACAUAGCUUUUUGUUUACAAAGCCUGGCCAGCCUGACAACUUUAGUUGAAUGAUCUGAUCCCGAAGCAAGCUUUCUGGGUUUAAGGCCAACUAAAUAUUCGACUCAAGUACCCCUCUUCCUAUUUAGUGUAGGGGUUAAGGCCAGAACUGACUUGAUAAGCUCUUCUGCUCACCACACACUGACCCCAUUCACUCUUUUCUGCAUAACUGAACCACUGCAGAACACCAGGUAAGAGGAACCAAAGAAAUGUGAGCCUAAGACAUGAUGUUAACAUCAUUGAUGUGGAUUUGUUUCUUAUACUAUUGUACCUGCACAUUUCUCCCUUAAAAUUCCAAAAACCUCAAAUUUAAAUAUGGUAACACUAGCACUAUAUCUUAGUUUGUUUAUAAUCUGCAUAUUUCUAAUCGUCAUACCCUUCUCGGUAUUUUUUAUCUGGUACCUUUUCAUUUUCAGUGGAACCUACAAGUAUUAUCAUUAUUUAUUUUCUCCCUCACAACUUGUAUCAUAUGAAAGUUGCUUUACAUGUUAGUAUCUUCCUGCAGAAAGAGCUGCAUAUACUGGACACUUGAGAGGUGGUUUGACUGACCGUGAGUGUGGUUACACUAAUCAAUCAUUGCAUAAUGCUUUUUUUUUUCUGGUUUUCCAGUCUGCAUGCUUUGCGACUUUGCAUGUUCCUAGAUGUGAAGAUAUCUAUUUAGAACUAUUGUAUAUUGCUCUCAUGACGGCUUCACCUGCAACCGAUUUAUGUAUAUAUGAUGUAUCUAUCAUUCUCAAACUUUGUAUUACAAAUUUUUGUGAC